AUAUUGUAUAAAAGAGGAGGCUUGCAUCUCCAUUAAUAAGGAUAGAAGAGGCUGUGGAGCAUAAAAUAUGAAUAAACAUGCAGCAUUGCCACAUAUUUUGUGUCACAUAACCACUGGUAUUU
This is a small nuclear RNA of Cricetulus griseus (Chinese hamster), 122 nucleotides long. Lineage: Eukaryota; Metazoa; Chordata; Mammalia; Rodentia; Cricetidae. The record is from Ensembl.